Molecule: ribosomal RNA, 483 nt
Filed under: uncultured bacterium
Lineage: Bacteria
Description: partial 16S ribosomal RNA
Rfam family: Bacterial small subunit ribosomal RNA
Source: RNAcentral
GAUGAACGCUGGCGGCGUGCUUAACACUGCAAGUCGAACGGUGAAGCAGGAGCUUGCUCUUGUGGAUCAGUGGCGAACGGGUGAGUAACACGUGAGCGACCUGCCCCGGACUCUGGGAUAAGCGCUGGAAACGGCGUCUAAUACUGGAUAUGUGAUGUAACCGCAUGGUCUGCAUCUGGAAAGAAUUUGGGUGGGGGAUGGGCUGGCGGCCUGUCAGCUUGUGGGUGAGGUAAUGGCUCACAAAGGCGUCGACGGGUAGCCGGCCUGAGAGGGUAACCGGCCACACUGGGACUGAGACACGGCCCAGACUGCUACGGGAGGCAGCAGUGGGGAAUAUUGCACAAUGGGCGGAAGCCUGAUGCAGCAACGCCGCGUGAGGGAUGACGGCCUUCGGGUUGUAAACCUCUUUUAGCAGGGAAGAAGCGAAAGUGACGGUACCUGCAGAAAAAGCACCGGCUAACUACGUGCCAGCCGCCGCGGUAA